UGCGCAGGCGGGGAUGUAAGUCAGUGGUGAAAUACUGCCGCUCAACGGUAGAACUGCCAUUGAUACUGCAUCUCUUGAGUAUGGUUGAGGUAGGCGGAAUGUGUUGUGUAGCGGUGAAAUGCAUAGAUAUGACACAGAACGCCAAUUGCGAAGGCAGCUUACUAAACCAUUACUGACGCUGAGGCACGAAAGCGUGGGGAGCGAACAGGAUUAGAUACCCUGGUAGUCC
RNAcentral lists this ribosomal RNA (229 nucleotides) under uncultured bacterium. RNAcentral's name for it is "partial 16S ribosomal RNA". It matches the Rfam family "Bacterial small subunit ribosomal RNA", at positions 568 to 796 of the family's 1533-position model. The record is from RNAcentral.